CGGCUCGGCUCGGCUCUGCUCGCCUCGGAUCGGAUCGGCUCGGCUCGGCUCAGCUCGGGUCAGGCUUCCGAC
This 72-nucleotide microRNA precursor is filed under the name Ochotona princeps (American pika). RNAcentral describes it as "miRNA (ENSOPRG00000021213.1)". The record is from RNAcentral. Lineage: Eukaryota; Metazoa; Chordata; Mammalia; Lagomorpha; Ochotonidae.